Molecule: ribosomal RNA, 497 nt
Filed under: uncultured bacterium
Lineage: Bacteria
Description: partial 16S ribosomal RNA
Rfam family: Bacterial small subunit ribosomal RNA
Source: RNAcentral
GAUGAACGCUGGCGGCGUGCCUAAUACAUGCAAGUCGAGCGAACAGAUAAGGAGCUUGCUCCUUUGACGUUAGCGGCGGACGGGUGAGUAACACGUGGGUAACCUAUCUAUAAGACUGGAAUAACUCCGGGAAACCGGGACUAAUGCCGGAUAACAUGUUGAACCGCAUGGUUCUACAGUGAAAGGCGGCUUUGCUGUCACUUAUAGAUGGACCCGCGCCGUAUUAGCUAGUUGGUGAGGUAACGGCUCACCAAGGCAACGAUACGUAGCCGACCUGAGAGGGUGAUCGGCCACACUGGAACUGAGACACGGUCCAGACUCCUACGGGAGGCAGCAGUAGGGAAUCUUCCGCAAUGGGCGAAAGCCUGACGGAGCAACGCCGCGUGAGUGAUGAAGGUCUUCGGAUCGUAAAACUCUGUUAUUAGGGAAGAACAAAUGCGUAAGUAACUGUGCGCGUCUUGACGGUACCUAAUCAGAAAGCCACGGCUAACUACGUG